AGUGAACGCUGGCGGUAGGCCUAACACAUGCAAGUCGAACGGCAGCACAGUAAGAGCUUGCUCUUACGGGUGGCGAGUGGCGGACGGGUGAGGUAUACAUCGGAAUCUACUUUUUCGUGGGGGAUAACGUAGGGAAACUUACGCUAAUAUCGCAUAUGCCCUACGGGUGAAAGCAGGGGAUAUUCGGACCUUGCGCGAAUGAAUGAGCCGAUGUCGGAUUAGCUAGUUGGCGGGGUAAAGGCCCACCAAGGCGACGAUCCGCAGCUGGUCUGAGAGGAUGGUCGGCCACACUGGAACUGAGACACGGUCCAGACUCCUACGGGAGGCAGCAGUGGGGAAUAUUGGACAAUGGGCGCAAGCCUGGUCCAGCCAUACCGCGUGGGUGAAGAAGGCCUUCGGGUUGUAAAGCCCUUUUGUUGGGAAAGAAAAGCAGCAGGUUAAUACCCCGCUGUUCUGACGGUACCCAAUGAAUAAGCACCGGCUAACUUCGUG
This 492-nucleotide ribosomal RNA is filed under the name uncultured bacterium. Its description in RNAcentral is "partial 16S ribosomal RNA". It matches the Rfam family "Bacterial small subunit ribosomal RNA", at positions 29 to 507 of the family's 1533-position model. The record is from RNAcentral.